AUAUCUCUCCUAAAAAUAUGCAAGCCCUGUCUGGAGCCGCUCUAAACAUGCACGCAAGGUGGGCUCUGCAUUGAACACUGCCUGCAGGAAAACCACAGGAUACCUGAAGCCGACAAAGGUUGAACAUCUGUACGAGCUGGCAGGCAUCGA
Molecule: long non-coding RNA, 150 nt
Organism: Amblyraja radiata (thorny skate)
Lineage: Eukaryota; Metazoa; Chordata; Chondrichthyes; Rajiformes; Rajidae
Exons: 3
Source: RefSeq, a predicted model, not a curated record